This is a non-coding RNA of Megalopta genalis, 1972 nucleotides long. Lineage: Eukaryota; Metazoa; Arthropoda; Insecta; Hymenoptera; Halictidae. The record is from RefSeq and is a predicted model, not a curated record.
AUUUUGCGGGGAACCAACCCCUCAAUCCGUUUAAUUCUCCUACCCAACAAUGUUCGUCUUUUUGACUUAAAAUCGUUAUUAUAUCAUUUUUUCGGAAACCCAAUUCGUCAUCAUCGUGUCUUUCAAAAUCUACAAUAAUAAAGUGCCAUAUCUAUAAUUAUUAUAAAUCUAAUGAUAUCAUUUACACUAGAGUACCUAAUAACGCUUUAGCUCUUCUUUUUCUAGUACGUGAUACAUUCACAUAAUUAUCAUGAUCUUUUGCAUGACUUUCCAUAGUAUAGUCUGCAAUAAGUAUAGUGUUGCUUAAUUUUGGAUCAACAUUGAUAAAGUGUCUAGCGACCUGUAGGACAGCCUCUCUUAAAUCCACCAAUAUUUCUGAAAUAUGACUAUUAUUAUUUUCUUUACACGAUCAAAUGUAUGAACAAAUGUUGAGUAAUUUUCCAUACCUGUUUGACGAAUGUUCUUCGAUUUUGCGUCAUCUUCAGUAUCGUAACUUCCAAACAAAAAUGUUUGUAACAUCGAUUUAUUUCUUUUCAUUUGACGCCUUCGUAAAAGUGUAAAUAAUUUUAUAAAGCAAUUCUAAUUUUCAUUAAAUCGUAUAGUAAUAAAUUAUAUACCUAUUAAGAUGUUGCUUUGGUAAAUUUGGUACUGCAUCUGGAUUACCUACUAAUCCUCCCUGAUCGGCCAUUAAGUAUGCUAAAUGUCUGCGUCUGUGAGUUUCGACUAGAACAUCUGUCAAUGAUCCACUAACUUCCAAAGAUAUCUGCAAUAUAAUAUAUAUAUAUAUAUAUAUAUAUUAUAUGUAUUCUAACAAUCUUUCCUUAAAUCUAGUUAGAAAUUCAGAAAAAUAAUUUUACAUUAAAUAAUUGUUCUACAUCAUCAAUAUCCCCUGGUAUAUCUGAGAGAGCAUUAAAUAUUUGGGCAGAGUUUUCCAAUUGCUUCAAUUCAGAUUCUGUAAAGCAUUAAAUUAUACAUUUAUUGGGUUUACAUCUGGAUAGAGUAAAGUAAUUGUGUGUGACUUGGAAUUAAUGCAUUAUAAUGAAGGUAACAUAGAAUUUCACUGAAUAUGUACCUUCAUGUUUCAAAAAAUAGUGCAAACAUAAAACGUUUAUAUACGCCAUUAUGUUGUUUCAAAAAAAUGGUUAAUAAUAAUAAAACGAGAAGAAAAUUGAUUUUUCAAACUGUUUAAUUAAGCAUUGUUAUUGAUUUGACUAAGUGAUUUAUUCAGUAAGCAACUCUUUUAUUGUAAAACCUUGUAAUAAUAUUAUGUUAUAUAAAAUCUAUAUACCUUUUAUUUUCAACAUUCCAAGUGUAACUUGAAAUAAGACUAUAGAUCCAUCAAAAAGGAACAUAUCCCAUAUGCGCAAUAAUAUUUUCAUAUGUACAACAGAAGCGAAUAGAGUCAGGAACCAGUGCAAUGAUAUCAAACUUAAUUCUAUGUCAUGCUGAACUAAGACAUGGUCUAUGUCAGGAAGAUAAUUAGCUACUAAUGUACGAAGUACUCUUUGGUCAGCCUGGAUACCUGUCACAUAUGUUCAGAAUUAAAUUAGUUAUAUUUUUUCCAUUGUUAGUUACUUUUAUUACUAUUACCUAAUAAUGUUGAAGAAUAAUAGGAUGCCGGUAGUAAAUCUUCUACUAUGGUUACCAUCAUCAAAAAAGCAUCUUCCUCUUCUAGGAGUAAUAAAAGAGAAGCUGCUAUUGUUCCUGUACCCUGGCAGUACCUUUAUAGAAUAUGUCGGAUACAACCAUGCAAGUGCACGCAUAACCCUUCUUAAGCGAGGUAUUCCAGUACUAUGAAGAUGGCUAAAACAUGCAUUGGCAGGCAUGAUACGGAGCAAAUCUUUUUCUAUUUGCUUGUUACUCAUUAAUGCAUCAUUGCUUGAUGCUUUUACAAUAUCUUUGUACAUUAUUUCAGAAGAACAUUUCUUCUGAAGUGCGCCUAUAAUAAAUAAAGGAUAAAUAAUCUAAGUGA